AGUUUUCUUCGGGGCAGGGUGAAAUUCCCUACCGGCGGUUACAGUCCGCGACUCCUUUCUUCGGAAGGGACUGAUCUGGUGAAAUUCCGGAACCGACAGUUAAAGUCUGGAUGGGAGAAGAAAAUG
Molecule: non-coding RNA, 126 nt
Filed under: Chryseobacterium oranimense G311
Lineage: Bacteria; Pseudomonadati; Bacteroidota; Flavobacteriia; Flavobacteriales; Weeksellaceae
Description: FMN
Rfam family: FMN riboswitch aptamer (RFN element)
About the family: The RFN element is a highly conserved domain that is found frequently in the 5'-untranslated regions of prokaryotic mRNAs that encode for flavin mononucleotide (FMN) biosynthesis and transport proteins.
Source: RNAcentral